AUGGUCACUCAGCCUACUAGGAGCCAGCCGGGGGCUGCAGUGGGAGGGCCGUCUGGCAUGGCCCUCUCUGUUACGCCGUCGGCCUCCUUCGGCUUCGCGUCGGUGGCGGUGGCGGUGGCUCCGCCUCCUCUCCGAAGGGCGGGCAAGAGCAAGGUGUUCGCUGGUUCUAGAGCCGGCCAACAAUCUCUCGUCAUCGACUUGGAAGCCACCAUGCGCGCGGUGGCAGGGAAACUUGUGGUGGCUAGAGUACUCUCAUCGUACUCAAUCGACCCAAGGGCGGUUGUUGGCGCUCUUCGCGGCCCUUGGAAGCUGCGGGGCAAUGCGGUGGCUCAGCGGGUCGAGGGCAAGGACGGGCGCUUCGUCAUCAAAUUCUCAGAGGAGGGCGACCUCAAGCACGUGCUUCGGGCUGGCCCGUGGCAUUUCAGGAACAACGCCGUGCUGAUCGCGGCGCUCGACGGGAAUACCAACCCCGUGGACGUGUGCCUGGUCUCUGUUUUGGUCUGGGUACAAAUCCAUGGGUUGCCAGUGCCACUCAAGGCUGAGGCCUUCUGCUGGGCUCUUGGUGAUCAGCUGGGUGUGGUGAAGGUGGUGGCGCACCAAAACCACCAGAUCGUCGGUGAGCAUCUUCGGGUUCAGAUCAUUCACAAGGUGGAUGAGCCACUAAGGAUGUCCGUUGCUUUCACUCUCUUUGGCAGCUCGGAGGAAAUCAGCUUCAAUGUAAAAUAUGAAAAACUGCCUAAAUUUUGCUUGUCUUGCGGUAUCGUGGGACACAUGACGGCCAAGCACUGUAGUAUUCCGGCCGAGCAACGCAAGGCGAUCUACUCCUCCGACCUCAAGGCGCCGGCCUGGAGUGGGUCGGUUCGGCAUCAUUUGGACUUCUGGGGCCUGGCGGGGGCCUCGGAAGAUGAGGUGUUCGCGCAGAACGCGAGGCUACCGGACAAGGUGAUCUCGGUGGUUGCCACGGCUGUCCAACAGCUCUCCGUGGCUACUGCUCUAGUGUUGGCAGAGGCUUGCCUUGGGGAGAAGGCUGGCUCGUUGUCUGCGUUGGACCCCGGGAUGCGUGUACUGGGCUAUUCCCUGGAGGGGAGGCCGGUGCUUGUUGGAUCCGGCUCCAAGGAUGGGGCCAUGGACAAGCUUCAGCAGGAGGCGUCCGGGCAAGCGGCCGGGGGCAUCGUCGACUCCAACAUAGAUAGCUCUGGUUCGGCUGUGAGAGCUGCUCAGCAGGGCCAGGAGGGCCUUACCGUUGCGGGCAAGGGGGCGGCCCUGGUGCAGCCGCCUCCUGCUGGUGGGGGCCGCGACCAAGGGGUGGUUCCCCUGAGCUUGGCGGCUGCUCCCAGGCCGCAACUGAUGGAGUCGCUGGGCGCGGCUUCCCUUGAGGGCCAGGGCGUGCUAGAGCCUGCCAUUUUGGCUGGUGGUGGAGCUGUGGGACUCCAGACUGUACCUGGGGUGAUGCAGCAGGCUGGUGGUGGCCAGUCUGUUGAUGCCGCGCUACUUGGGGAUGGUCUGGAGGUGGACUCGGAGGCGAGAGGUACCGGUGGGCUGCGGCCAAGCAUCGAAGCUAAGGGUCUGGAGACCAUUUGGGGCCGCUGGAAGCGUGUCCACAGGGAGGAGCGCGAGGAGCGUGCUGUGGUGCAAUACACCGGCGUCAAGCAUGCCAUGUUUUGGGUGCCCACUCUGCCUAAUAGUGGGAGUGAAUUGUCCAACCGCAAAACUGCCUUCGUCGAUAUCCUCGAAAACACAAUGAUGCCCAAGAAACGCGGUCCCGACGGCAGCCAAGAAUUCAUCAUCAACAUGAACAGUACUACACUAGUGCAGAACCAGGCUUUAGCGCCGGUUCGUAAGGGCCUUUAG
Molecule: ribosomal RNA, 1851 nt
Filed under: Triticum aestivum (bread wheat)
Lineage: Eukaryota; Viridiplantae; Streptophyta; Magnoliopsida; Poales; Poaceae
Description: partial small subunit ribosomal RNA
Source: RNAcentral